GAGCGCCCCGCAAGGGGAGCGGCAGACGGGAGAGUAACACGUGGGAACGUGCCCUUUGGUUCGGAACAACACAGGGAAACUUGUGCUAAUACCGGAUAAGUCCGUAAGGAGAAAGAUUUAUCGCCAAAGGAUCGGCCCGCGUCUGAUUAGCUUGUUGGUGAGGUAACGGCUCACCAAGGCGACGAUCAGUAGCUGGUCUGAGAGGAUGAUCAGCCUCACUGGGACUGAGACACGGCCCAGACUCCUACGGGAGGCAGCAGUGGGGAAUAUUGGACAAUGGGCGCAAGCCUGAUCCAGCCAUGCCGCGUGGAUGAUGAAGGCCUUAGGGUUGUAAAGUCCUUUCGGCGGGGAAGAUAAUGACGGUACCCGCAGAAGAAGCCCCGGCUAACUUCGUGCCAGCAGCCGCGGUAAUGCGAAGGGGGCUAGCGUUGCUCGGAAUCACUGGGCGUAAAGCGCACGUAGGCGGCUUUUUAAGUCAGAGGUGAAAUCCUGGAGCUCAACUCCAGAACUGCCUUUGAUACUGGAGAGCUUGAGUCCGGGAGAGGUGAGUGGAACUGCGAGUGUAGAGGUGAAAUUCGUAGAUAUUCGCAAGAACACCAGUGGCGAAGGCGGCUCACUGGCCCGGUACUGACGCUGAGGUGCGAAAGCGUGGGGA
RNAcentral lists this ribosomal RNA (655 nucleotides) under uncultured forest soil bacterium. RNAcentral's name for it is "bacterial SSU rRNA". It matches the Rfam family "Bacterial small subunit ribosomal RNA", at positions 64 to 767 of the family's 1533-position model. The record is from RNAcentral.